AGCAAGAUAAGCUAAGCAAGCUAUGGGCCCAUACCCCAAUAAUGAAGGUUUAAAUCCUUCUCGUGCUA
RNAcentral lists this transfer RNA (68 nucleotides) under Hyphessobrycon amapaensis. Its description in RNAcentral is "tRNA-Met". It matches the Rfam family "tRNA". From Rfam's summary of the family: Transfer RNA (tRNA) molecules are approximately 80 nucleotides in length. Their secondary structure includes four short double-helical elements and three loops (D, anti-codon, and T loops). The record is from RNAcentral. Lineage: Eukaryota; Metazoa; Chordata; Actinopteri; Characiformes; Acestrorhamphidae.